CUUGCCAGAAAAGUGUCAGCUGUUAUAGAAGUAGAGUGAUAGUCAACUGCCCACAAAUUUGUCCAUGCAUAUUUCAUGAAGACUAAUAUAGAUGUCCACUCUCCCCUUAUGCUUUCAGGGAAUUACCCACUUAAUGUAAAGUGAGCUCCUUUUCUUGGUUAUCAACUGUUUUAGAGGUAGAUGACAUGUACAAAUUAGUAUAUAUUAUUAUAUAUUGUUUCAUUUAAAGCAAAAUGCAACAUAUGACAUACAGUUAAUACAGUGCCCCGUUGAUUUAAAAAAUAUGUAACUCAGAAUGCUAAAUCAAAAUAAUCAAAUAUAUCAUUUUGAGACAGAAAACAAGCGUUCAAAAAAGUAAAAAUCUUUAGAAAUUACAACAACAAAAAAAAGAAAGAAAAUUUGCAUUUUAUUUACUAACAUAACUGGUCACAUUCGGCAACUGCUGUUCCAAACUUAACAAAAUAUUGAGGUACCUUGUGCAAUCUAUAGCUUAGACCUGUCUUGAGAAUAAAUUAUAACCUCAUAAAACUGAUAAAUGUACGUUCCAUAUUAUCUGUUACUUUCACUGAAUAUAAUCAUAUUUAGAAACACUGUCUUCACCUGAGUAGAAACACCUACCAAACCCCCUGUAUUUAUGUGAAAAAAGACUCUGUUAAUGUUGCAUCCUAGUUAGUCAUGCCAACAGAACCAAACACACAGUCGAGGUUAUGGUGCCAGGAGUGCCCUUAUGCCAUCCCAUGGAAUGUAGCUAUGCUAUUUUAGUAUGGUACGACAACUUAUGUGGGUGCUGCUAAGUACCUGUGGCCCCAUAAACUGCUUAUGGUUGUUUCCUUUAGCAGAAUCCAGUUAGCUCUAUAGAGUUCUACACCUAAGAGGGGUCAUGCAGAACUGGGCUCACUGACUGAGAGCAUCAGCUAAGUGCUCUCAGCCAAAGAGCAUGCACUUUGUGCCAUAGAGACAUCUGGCUUCUCCUACAAGAGAACAUCCAAUGUGGCGCAUGCACAAAUUGCCAAACUGUACUAAAAAUGGGUUGACUAUUCUACUUAAAACUAGAUUGCUCAGGGCACUCCUGCACCACUUUUAGGCAGUAUGGUUUCAUGAUAAAUGUCUUUGUUUUCUUUCAUCUUACAUCUGUAUGGUAUUUCAGGUAAAGUGGGGUGUGUGUGUAUGUGUAUAAUUAUUAGUGUAGGUGUUGUAUUCAGAAAUGAGCCAAUGUUGUAACCUAUUCCCUAAUGGAAUGAAGGCCUUUUCAAAAAGCUUGGGUGUUAUUGUCAUGGAAAGGGCAUGUAUUUCUAUGGUGCUUUCAGAGUAAUGAAGAUAAAGUAAAAACAAAUCAAUACAUCUACACCAGGAGCAGGGAACUUCGGCACUGCAGAUGCUGUGAACUACAUCUCCCAUAAUGCUCUUACACACAUUCUGGUAAAGCAUCAUGGGAGAUGUAUUCCUGAGGGAGAUGCAGUCCACAACAUCUAAAAUGCCAGGGUUUACAUAGACCAUGGUGUGAAGAAAUGAGGGGCCAUUUUCUCGGUACAUUCUGGAUAAUACUAUAUAUAAUUUUAUUUAUUUUGCCUAUAUAUUUAUUCCAUAACCCACUGUUUGUGAUUUUUAUUUUAGGUGAAAAAAAUAUGUAUUGUGUCUCAACUCAGAAUGGCCAAAUUAUAUUUUAAUAUUAAUGAAC
RNAcentral lists this long non-coding RNA (1678 nucleotides) under Pelobates cultripes (western spadefoot toad). Lineage: Eukaryota; Metazoa; Chordata; Amphibia; Anura; Pelobatidae. The record is from RNAcentral.